RNAcentral lists this non-coding RNA (27 nucleotides) under Mus musculus (house mouse). Lineage: Eukaryota; Metazoa; Chordata; Mammalia; Rodentia; Muridae. The record is from RNAcentral.
UAGCUGUGGAGGAAAUUUGGGCAUAAG